RNAcentral lists this ribosomal RNA (251 nucleotides) under uncultured bacterium. Its description in RNAcentral is "partial 16S ribosomal RNA". It matches the Rfam family "Bacterial small subunit ribosomal RNA", at positions 524 to 776 of the family's 1533-position model. The record is from RNAcentral.
UACAGAGGUCUCAAGCGUUGUUCGGAUUCAUUGGGCGUAAAGGGUGCGUAGGUGGCGCCGUAAGUCGGGUGUGAAAUUUCGGAGCUUAACUCCGAAACUGCAUUCGAUACUGCGGUGCUUGAGGACUGGAGAGGAGACUGGAAUUCAUGGUGUAGCAGUGAAAUGCGUAGAGAUCAUGAGGAAGACCAGUGGCGAAGGCGGGUCUCUGGACAGUUCCUGACACUGAGGCACGAAGCCAGGGAGCAAACGGG